CUGCAGCUCAAGUGGUGAUCGUUAUUAUUGGGCCUAAAACGUUCGUAGCCUGUUUAAUAAAUGCCUGGGUAAAUCGUGCCGCUCAACGGUACGAAUUCCGGGUAGACUGUUAAACUUGAGACCGGGAGAGGCUAGAGGUACUCCUGGGGUAGAGGUGAAAUUCUGUAAUCCUAGGGGGACCACCAGUGGCGAAGGCGUCUAGCUAGAACGGGUCUGACGGUGAGGGACGAAGCCCUGGGGCGCAAACCGGAUUAGAGACCCGAGUAGUCC
This 270-nucleotide ribosomal RNA is filed under the name uncultured archaeon. RNAcentral describes it as "partial 16S ribosomal RNA". It matches the Rfam family "Archaeal small subunit ribosomal RNA", at positions 477 to 747 of the family's 1478-position model. The record is from RNAcentral.